UGUAAAUUACGUCAUAUCCGUUUAGUCGAGUUGAAGCUUAAGCCCGGGAAGCCGACUACAUGUUGUCUGCGUUAAAUCCGUGUCCAUCAGUCUGUAAAUAUGAAAUAUUUGUGGGUUUUGAUGCAUUAUUCUGGUAGAACAAACUGAAUGUGGUAGUUUUGUUUUGUUAUUGGUGUUUUCCGAAGAUGUUAAGGCGAUAAAAUUGUUAGGCCAUCAGCAGUAGUAUACUAUGGAAGACUUCGGGUCACAUGGGGUGGAGAACAUACCGCAGGAGGAAGGGUAGCAGUUUCAUCGACAGGCAAGUUUGAACGCAAAGGCUGACGAUUGCUGCCAGAAGAUGAACAUCUAGGCACUUCAAAUGGUCCUUUCUGAAAGGCCUCCGUAUGGGUCAUGUGACCUACAUGGCUACCUGCAUAGCUGGAAGCUUCAGCAUUUCAGGCUUCAUCCAGAGACGCUUUGAUGAAGGAGAGUUUGUGCUGGAAGUUUGAAGAAUCUAUCAUCUGAUAAACGUUUGUUUAAGCUGCACACAAUCCAAUCUUUUGUUUUGUUCAUCGUGUGGCAGUGAAAGAAUUAACAUCUUAUGGAUUCAUCAGCAAUUCUGUAAAGUCCAAUAUGAAGGAUGUAUCAAGAUAGAUAUUGUCCUGAUUUGUCACAAAUCUGUUUGGAUCUGGAAGGAGAUUUUCUUUGCAGUGAAUUCAGGAUCUUUUUGUAAUCGCUCAGUUUUAUUACAGAGAUUCUGCAUAGUGACUCAUGUCUUUUCCCACUCCAUAGCAGAAUGUUCAUCCUCUGAGCCACUCAUUCCUCUGCAGGGGAAUUGUCUUUGUUUACAUGUCACCAAAGAUGUGCAAAACCCUCAAAUCUAGGUGUUAGUUUUGCACCACAAUAGGACAGACCCGUGUUGUUAGUUAGAGUUCCUCUUCAUCACAAAACGGUUUAACAAAGCCAGGUUUCUGCCUGUCUGCUCGCCGUUUCGCCCUUGGCUAGUUUAGCCGUGCUCCCUGUGACUUGUUCGGUGUGUUUUUGCAAAAAUCAUUUUGAUUUUAUUUAUUUAUCUGUUCUUGUUUUUUUUUUAUAUAUGUAUCUGUGGGGGUUCCCUUGUGGUGCCUUGUUAUCCAGAUUAUUGUGUUUUGUGGAUUUCUUGAUGUAUUUAUUUGGUAGACCAAGUUGUAGCGGUCACCAGAGAUGCUGAAGCAAGUCCAUUGUUUGUAACUGACAAAAAUAAAUACCUACUUCCUCGCUCUA
Molecule: long non-coding RNA, 1242 nt
Organism: Oryzias latipes (Japanese medaka)
Lineage: Eukaryota; Metazoa; Chordata; Actinopteri; Beloniformes; Adrianichthyidae
Source: RefSeq, a predicted model, not a curated record